CAGGGCAGCUCACGUUGUUGGAGGCCUCGAGCAAUCAGAGGUUUCCUGUAAGGAUGGAGUGACAGGAGAGAUCAGCAUGUUUCAAGUCGAUGAGGAACUCAGAGAAGCUGCAUAGCUUGAAUAGGAUUUUAUUCAUGCUAAAGAUGACAUGAGGAUCCAGCUCAUCUACAAACACUUCAAAAUGAUUCA
This is a non-coding RNA of Danio rerio (zebrafish), 189 nucleotides long. The record is from RefSeq and is a predicted model, not a curated record. Lineage: Eukaryota; Metazoa; Chordata; Actinopteri; Cypriniformes; Danionidae.